This 483-nucleotide ribosomal RNA is filed under the name uncultured bacterium. RNAcentral describes it as "partial 16S ribosomal RNA". It matches the Rfam family "Bacterial small subunit ribosomal RNA", at positions 30 to 507 of the family's 1533-position model. The record is from RNAcentral.
UUGAACGCUGGCGGAAUGCUUUACACAUGCAAGUCGAACGGCAGCACGGGGGCAGCCCUGGUGGCGAGUGGCGAACGGGUGAGUAAUACAUCGGAACGUGCCCGGUCGUGGGGGAUAACGUAGCGAAAGUUACGCUAAUACCGCAUACGAUCUGAGGAUGAAAGCGGGGGACCUUCGGGCCUCGCGCGAUCGGAGCGGCCGAUGUCAGAUUAGGUAGUUGGUGGGGUAAAGGCCUACCAAGCCGACGAUCUGUAGCUGGUCUGAGAGGACGACCAGCCACACUGGGACUGAGACACGGCCCAGACUCCUACGGGAGGCAGCAGUGGGGAAUUUUGGACAAAGGGCGCAAGCCUGAUCCAGCCAUUCCGCGUGCAGGACGAAGGCCUUCGGGUUGUAAACUGCUUUUGUACGGAACGAAAAGGCUCUGGCUAAUACCUGAGGCUCAUGACGGUACCGUAAGAAUAAGCACCGGCUAACUACGUG